AAUGAACGUUGGCGGCGUGCCUAACACAUGCAAGUCGAGCGUGAAAGUCCUUCGGGAUGAGUAAAGCGGCGGACGGGUGAGUAACGCGUGAGAAUUUCCCUUUUAGUGAAGAAUACCUUUGAGAAAUCAAAGUUAAUACUGCAUACGUCUCGAAAGAGAGAAAGAUGGCCUAAUUGCUGUCGCUAAAAGAUAAGCUUGCGUUCUAUUAGCUAGUUGGUGAGGUAAUGGCUCACCAAGGCGAUGAUGGAUAGCCGGCCUGAGAGGGCGAACGGCCACAUUGGAACUUAGACACGGUCCAAACUCCUACGGGAGGCAGCAGUGGGGAAUAUUGGACAAUGGGCGCAAGCCUGAUCCAGCAAUGCCGCGUGUGUGAAGAAGGCCUUCGGGUUGUAAAGCACUUUAGCCUGGAAAGAAAAAACUUUGGUUAACACCCAAAGUCUUGACGGUACCAGGAGAAUAAGCACCGGCUAACUCUGUGCCAGCCGCCGCCGUAA
RNAcentral lists this ribosomal RNA (494 nucleotides) under uncultured bacterium. RNAcentral's name for it is "partial 16S ribosomal RNA". It matches the Rfam family "Bacterial small subunit ribosomal RNA", at positions 29 to 523 of the family's 1533-position model. The record is from RNAcentral.